GUCAGGCACAAGGGCUGUUUCUGUAAUCCUAACUGCUCCGGAGCUGAGACAGGAGUAUCGCUUGAGCUCAGGAGUACUGAGCUCUAGUGAGCUAUGCAAAUCAGGUGUCCGCACUAAGUUGAGCAUAAAUACUGGUGACUUGGGGGACAGGAACCACCAGGUUGCUUACGGAGAGGUGAACCGGCCCGGAUCAGAAAUGGAGCAUGUCAAAGCUCCAGUGCUGAUCUGUAGUAGGAUCAUGCCUGCGAAUCCACAGGCAUGGACAACACAGUGAGACCCCAUCUCU
RNAcentral lists this signal recognition particle RNA (286 nucleotides) under Castor canadensis (American beaver). RNAcentral's name for it is "Metazoan signal recognition particle RNA (ENSCCNG00000016908.1)". It matches the Rfam family "Metazoan signal recognition particle RNA". Rfam says of the family: The signal recognition particle (SRP) is a universally conserved ribonucleoprotein. It is involved in the co-translational targeting of proteins to membranes. Lineage: Eukaryota; Metazoa; Chordata; Mammalia; Rodentia; Castoridae. The record is from RNAcentral.